AUGGCUGGUGAAGGCAUCUCGAUAGAUGAAUUUAUGGAGUACGACUCAAUGGUCAGGCAGACAUUUAAAAGUGAGAACGAAGCGUACAAGUUCUACUUAGCGUAUGCGGAGAGCAAAGGGUUUGGUGUUAGAAAGGGCGAUCUAAAAUAUAAGGGAAACAAGGAAAAUGCAUACCGGAGGACGUUUGUGUGCUGCAAACAAGGAUAUCGUGACGUAAAGCACUUUGAUGAAACCGACAAGAAAAGGACACCAAGGGCACUCUCUCGGUGUGGUUGUCCUGCUCUUUUGCAGGUUGAGCUUCAAGCAAGCACUGGGUUGUGGUUUGUAAAGAAUUUUGUUGACCAACAUAGCCAUCCAUUCAUAAAUCCUGAGUUGUCACCUUUCCUGUGGUCUCAUCGUGGCCUGAACGACCCACAGAAGGCGGAUGUCAUUGAGUACUCGGUUGGUGGACUUCGCACACAUCAGAUAAUGGAUGUGAUGGAGAAGCAGGCUGGUGGUUUCGGCAAGGCUGGAUUUAUAUCUCGCGAUCUGUAUAACCAUGUCGCAUUGGAGAAGAAGAAAAAGAUAGAAGGUAGCGAUGCUCAGUUUAUGCUGAACUACAUGACAGCACAACAGAUGAAAGACCCAGAUUUUUUUUACAGAUACACCACAGACAUUGAUGGGCAUCUGCAGAACAUAUUCUGGGCAGACGCCCAAUCUCGCUUGGACUAUGUUGCAUUUGGUGGUGUGGUGGUGUUUGACAGCACAUACCGGUCAAACAAAUAUAGGUUGCCAUUUGUUCCAUUUGUGGGGCUGAACCAUCACCGUAGCACAGUCGUGUUUGGGGUUGGUCUUGUAUCCGGCGAAUGGGCUGACUCAUAUGAGUGGCUGCUUCAGGUUUUUUUGGAGGCAAUGCACCAGAAGCAUCCCAUUUCAACGAUCACAGACGGCGACGCUUCAAUGGCCAAAGCCAUAUCAUCAGUCUGGCCUAGCACAUAUCACCGUCUGUGCAGCUGGCAUAUCGAGCAGAAUAUGGUGCUUCACCUCCGAAAGGAAAAGCUUAAGGAAUUUAGGAAAUUUAUUUACUAUGCCAUGGAUAUGCAUGGAUUCAUAGGAUGUACGAGCUGA
This 1107-nucleotide ribosomal RNA is filed under the name Triticum aestivum (bread wheat). Its description in RNAcentral is "partial small subunit ribosomal RNA". The record is from RNAcentral. Lineage: Eukaryota; Viridiplantae; Streptophyta; Magnoliopsida; Poales; Poaceae.